This is a non-coding RNA of Rattus norvegicus (Norway rat), 1542 nucleotides long. The record is from RefSeq and is a predicted model, not a curated record. Lineage: Eukaryota; Metazoa; Chordata; Mammalia; Rodentia; Muridae.
UCAAACAAGGUCAACACAUAUAAAUUGCCUAACACGAUGCUCUGCGGGCUGCGGACAGUAGCAAAUUACCGUGUGGUGAGACCAACAGCUGAUAAGGCAAAUGACUAAAUACAGAAUGCCACUGUGAUUGAGGCCACGGAAAAGCAGUAAACCGGGAUUUGUGAAUUCAAAUGGAACGCCUAGGGCUUUCGCCCGAUUCUCGGUACCAGGUCGGUGCUGGCGCCGACAGAAAGGAAAUGCAGGGACAAAGAGGGGAGCAGAGACUGAAGGAAAGGCCAUCCAGAGACUGCCCCAUUUGGGGAUCCAUCUCAUCUGCAGACACAAAACCCAGACAACAUUGCUGAUGCUGAGGAAUGCUUGCUGGUUCCUGUAGAGAGCGUUCUGGGUUUGGACCACAUGGAUCAAGUGAUGGAGGAAGAGAAGGGAACGUCACACGGAUCAACCUCCCUGUUAUCGCACUCCAAUGUCUUGCAGCCUCGAGCCUACCUGUUUAUAAGGAGAUAGAAAGGUGCAGAACAAGUCCAGGAAGAUGGCCGUGUACCCGCAUACAGAGGCUGAGCCCAGGGGAGGGUGUCCGUGACUGUUCCUGAGUGUGUCAGAGAUGGACUCACAGAAUACUUGAGGUGAGCAAGAGGAACUGACCGAUGGAGAAGGUGCAUGAUAUAACUCCAGAUAGCAGGGCGGACAGCAUGUGCGGAAGCAGGAGGCUUCGGGAGAUAAUUGGGAAAACGUUUUAAAGAAACCAUUGAAAAAUUACUGAACUCUUUGGCAUCCCCAAAGCACUCAAUUAUUCAGAAGUCUGUUCCUCACCACCAUUUCUGCUCCAAAACCAAGUGCCUGCUCUAACCUCCGUCCUUUACUGAGAUGAUGUGACAUCUGUAGUAUUCGAAGAAGUCACAGCAGAAGGAAAAAGCUGUGGAAUCGAAUCAUACAUCAUACGGGGAUGAAAAUGGUUGCCAUUGGCCGAGAGAAACAGGAAAUCAUCGUCUGUGAGGAAGCCAGACCGUUUCAACCACAGACAGCAGAAAGGUUCUGAAGGAGGUUUUCUGAACCGGGUUUGCCUUGUGCGGAAGAUUUCAAAGCGUUUCCAUCAGCCUCGUUCUGGCGAGGUGGAGAAAAGAACGAAUGUUUGAAAAGGAAAACACUUCGGUCAACCAGGCAGGAAGAAAAUGAGUAGCUGGUGAGGGAAUGCAUGAUGCGGCCAUAGCAGGGGGCGCUCUUGGUCACGGGGAAAUAAGCAGGUAGCACAGAGAGAGUCAGCGGAGAGCUGGGUGAGAUGGGAGCUAGGGCACAGAAAGACUGUUCAGGCAGCCGAGCUUGGAGACAAGGAGCCAGACAUAAUGCUAUGGUCUUUCAGCUCAGAAAAUGCUGAAGGUGGCUUGGAUGAGAUAUCGGGGAAAGGAAGUGAAGUUGCGGAAAAGUCAUUUGUUUCUGUCUUACGUUUCUCUUCUUCUAAAUUUUCAUGCCAUUUUAGUUUUGUGCAAAAAUUCAAACCAAACCGAAACAAACAAAUAAACUGCCCCCUCCCUUCCCCAAAUGCCA